AUUCCUAGUGCUAGCUCUUUUUGAGUUAGCUUUUCUUUAGCGUAGAUAACUAAAGGAAUAAGGGCUGGGUAAGACGGGUGCCAGCCGCCGCGGUAAUACCUGCAGCCCAAGUGGUGGCCGAUAGUAUUGAGUCUAAAACGUUCGUAGCCGGUCUGAUAAAUCUUUGGGUAAAUCGGGAAGCUUAACUUUCCGACUUCCGAGGAGACUGUCAGACUUGGGACCGGGAGAGGCUAGAGGUACUUCUGGGGUAGGGGUAAAAUCCUGUAAUCCUAGAAGGACCACCGGUGGCGAAGGCGUCUAGCUAGAACGGAUCCGACGGUGAGGGACGAAGCCCUGGGGCGCAAACGGGAUUAGAUACCCCGGUAGUCCAGGGUGUAAACGCUGCAGACUUGGUGUUGGAAAUCCUUCGAGGGUAUUCAGUGCCGGAGAGAAGUUGUUAAGUCUGCUACUUGGGGAGUACGUCCGCAAGGAUGAAACUUAAAGGAAUUGCG
This 491-nucleotide ribosomal RNA is filed under the name uncultured archaeon. Its description in RNAcentral is "bacterial SSU rRNA". It matches the Rfam family "Archaeal small subunit ribosomal RNA", at positions 378 to 869 of the family's 1478-position model. The record is from RNAcentral.